This 263-nucleotide ribosomal RNA is filed under the name uncultured bacterium. RNAcentral's name for it is "partial 16S ribosomal RNA". It matches the Rfam family "Bacterial small subunit ribosomal RNA", at positions 793 to 1055 of the family's 1533-position model. The record is from RNAcentral.
GUCCACGCCGUAAACGUUGGGAACUAGGUGUUGGCGACAUUCCACGUCGUCGGUGCCGCAGCUAACGCAUUAAGUUCCCCGCCUGGGGAGUACGGCCGCAAGGCUAAAACUCAAAGGAAUUGACGGGGGCCCGCACAAGCAGCGGAGCAUGUGGCUUAAUUCGACGCAACGCGAAGAACCUUACCAAGGCUUGACAUACACCGGAAAGCCGUAGAGAUGCGGUUUCCCUUGUGGUCGGUGUACAGGUGGUGCAUGGCUGUCGU